RNAcentral lists this ribosomal RNA (409 nucleotides) under uncultured bacterium. RNAcentral describes it as "bacterial SSU rRNA". It matches the Rfam family "Bacterial small subunit ribosomal RNA", at positions 917 to 1350 of the family's 1533-position model. The record is from RNAcentral.
GGGCCCGCACAAGCGGUGGAGUAUGUGGUUUAAUUCGAUGCAACGCGAAGAACCUUACCAGGGUUUGACAUCCUGCGAAUCUCUUGGAAACGAGAGAGUGCCUUCGGGAGCGCAGUGACAGGUGGUGCAUGGCUGUCGUCAGCUCGUGUCGUGAGAUGUUGGGUUAAGUCCCGCAACGAGCGCAACCCACGUCUUUAGUUGCCAGCAUUUAGUUGGGCACUCUAGAGAGACCGCCGGUGAUAAACCGGAGGAAGGUGUGGAUGACGUCAAGUCAUCAUGCCCCUUACAUCCUGGGCUACACACGUACUACAAUGGUAGUGACAAUGGGUUAAUCCCAAAAGCUAUCUCAGUUCGGAUUGUCGUCUGCAACUCGACGGCAUGAAGUCGGAAUCGCUAGUAAUCGCGUAAC